GGGGUUGUGGCUCCGUGGUAGAGCGCUCACCUCGCAUGUGCGUAGACCCUGGGUUCGAUCCUCAGCACCACA
RNAcentral lists this transfer RNA (72 nucleotides) under Marmota monax (woodchuck). RNAcentral's name for it is "tRNA.Ala". The record is from RNAcentral. Lineage: Eukaryota; Metazoa; Chordata; Mammalia; Rodentia; Sciuridae.